ACUCUUGAGGCUCAGUUAAUAGAGCAUGAGACUCUUAAUCUCAGGGUUGUGGGUUCGAGCCCCACUUUGGGCA
Molecule: non-coding RNA, 73 nt
Organism: Podarcis lilfordi (Lilford's wall lizard)
Lineage: Eukaryota; Metazoa; Chordata; Lepidosauria; Squamata; Lacertidae
Source: the annotation of a GenBank genome assembly